Molecule: long non-coding RNA, 2700 nt
Organism: Arachis duranensis
Lineage: Eukaryota; Viridiplantae; Streptophyta; Magnoliopsida; Fabales; Fabaceae
Exons: 2
Source: RefSeq, a predicted model, not a curated record
AUAGCUUUAAGGAUGUACUUUGACAUCCAGUCCACAGCUCUAUUCCCAUCCCUAUAUGUAUGAGUAUACCUCAACUGUCACUCCCUUCUUCUAAAUGCCUCUAUGCUUCUAACAAGCAUAUUUGGGUGUUUUUCAUUUCUCUCCCCUUGCUGAAUAACUUCCACCAAAGGUUGAGAGUUCAAAUCCAAGAUCACUUUCCUAAAACCCAGGUCCUAGACUGUUUGCAAUUUUUGAAGAGCACCCCAUAAUUCUGCUUGAAAUGCUGUGCAUGUCCUAAUAUUCAUCACAAAAUCCGUCAUCCAUCUUCCCUAUUCAUCUCUGCACACUCCGCUGCAUCCCGCCUCUCCAUCCAUCCCCUCUAAUGCUCCAUUUACAUUAACCUUUAUCCAGCUUGGCGGCGGUGGAAUCCAAGAUAUAUUCACAUCCAUCCUUCUGUUUCGAAAAUUUUCUAAUUCCUCCAUUUCUAUAGCCACUAACAGGUUGUGAUGAAGAGAAAUUGCCACUUUUCUUAGUUUUGGAAGCCUAUGUUCGACGAAAGAUUCCAUCUAAUCUAGUGAUCAAAGGGAGAUCUGAAGAAUUCUUGAAGGUUGGAAGGAUGUAUCAGAUUAGUCUACACCCUUAACAUAACUCCACAAUAGCGCAAAACAUGAAUUUGGAUUUUUUUUUGUAUAUUUUACAGUGAUGACAAUCAGGUUCUGUUCCAAUCAUCUUGCUUUUUUUACUUGUUGUUAGAAGCUUUUUACAUGUUUCUUGCCAAAAAAAUAUUUCAUUUUUUGUGGCCCCUGCCAUUUUCAAAUAAUACUUCAGAUUUGAUCGUGCACACUAUUUUGAGUAAUUAGGUGCAUAUAAGCACUCUUAGUUGAAAAGUCCUCAUCUUAGAUGAGGUUCCAUAUUACUUGGUCUUCUCCUAUAACUUCAUUAGGGGGAGGGACAACUGUGAUUUUGCUAAUAAUAUUUUAAGGAAAAAAUUGCUUAAUGCUCAUUAGAACCUAGUUACCAUCUUUAUUAAUAUAAUCACCUUCUAAUUCAAUUAUGUCUCUAUCAGCUGAGUUGUAGUUUUCAUUAGUUACCAUUAGUUACCAUGGCAUCAAGAUAUCUUCCAAGACUAGGUGUCUCUUGAAAUUCACAUUUUUGAAUGAUAUUUCUUUUAGUAUUCAUGUCCACAUUCUAUGAGAAAACAAUAGAAGUUUUCACAACAUUAAUCUUCAAGCCCGAGACCAUACAAAAGUUAUCAAGUUUAUCUUUCACCAUUUUAAUUUGCUCACUCAAUGCUUCUACAAAGAAAAUCAAAUUGUCCACAAACAGAAGAUGGGCUAUGCGAAGCCCAUGCCUUCCAGCUAUCAUUAGCUUACAUUUUUGUCUGUUAACACUGUCUUCUAUAAUUUGUGACAAUUUAUUUGUGGCAAUAAAAAAUAGGUAGGGAAAAUAGGAUCCCUUGUCUUGACCUCUUUGUAGGAAUAAAUUCUUCCGUUUUGCAACCAUUUCAUAAUAUCUUAAACGAUGUAGUGAAAACACAUUCCAUCAUGACCUUGAGAAUAUGCUUUGUCACACCAAACUCCUCUAAACUCUUAUGAAUAGAUUCCUAUCAUAAGUUGUCAUGUGUUUUUUCAAAAUCUAUUUUUAUUGCCAUGUAUUUGCAUUUUCCUUUUUCAUUUUCUACAUGUCAAAAAUUAUCUCUUUGACAAUUACUAUACUAUUGUGAAUAAUUCUUCCUAGGAUAAAACUAGCAUGCUAGGGAAUAAUCCUUUGGAUUAUGAUUGGCUUAAUUUUAGCAACCAUUAACUUCAAAAUACAUUUAUAGAACAUAUUGCAAAGCACGAUAGGUCUAAAUUCAUUGAUGAAUUUAGGUCGAUCAAUGAUGAGCGGAUAAUUUAUACGCUUUUUGGCAUUGUUUUUAGGUAGUUUUUAGUAAGUUCAAGCUACUUUUAGGGAUGUUUUCAUUAGUUUUUAUGUUAAAUUCACAUUUCUGGACUUUACUAUGAGUUUGUGUGUUUUUCUGUGAUUUCAGGUAAUUUCUGGCUGAAAUUGAGGGACUUGAGCAAAACUCUGAAAAAGACUGACAAAAGGACUGCUGAUGCUGUUGGAAUCUGACCUCCCUGCACUCGAAAUGGAUUUUCUGGAGCUACAGAACUCCAAUUGGCUCGCUCUCAACGGCGUUGGAAAGUAGACAUUCAGAGCUUUUCAGCAAUAUAUAAUAGUUUAUACUUUAUUCGGAAAUUGAUGAUGUAACUUGGCGUUGAACGCCAAGUACAUGCUGCUGUCUGGAGUUAAACGCCAGAAACACGUCAUGAUCCGGAGUUGAACGCCCAAAACACGUUAUAACUUGGCGUUCAACUCCAAGAAAAGUCUCAGCUCGUGGAUAGAUCAAGCUCAGCCCAAACAUACACCAAGUGGGCCCCAGAAGUGGAUUUAUGCAUUAAUUACUUACUCAUGUAAACCCUAGUAGCUAGUUUAGUAUAAAUAAGACUUUUUACUAUUGUAUUAGUCGUCUUUUGACCACGUUUCAUCUUUGGUCUCAGUUUUGUUUUAUUCUUCAUCUUAGGAGGCUAUUGAUCACGUUUUGGGGGCUGGCCAUUCGGCCAUUCCUGAACCUUUCACUUAUGUAUUUUCAACGGUGGAGUUUCUACACACCAUCGAUGAAGGAUGUGGAGCUCUGCUGUACCUCAAGUUUCAAUACAAUUACUAUUACUUUUUAUUCAA